RNAcentral lists this ribosomal RNA (506 nucleotides) under uncultured bacterium. RNAcentral's name for it is "partial 16S ribosomal RNA". It matches the Rfam family "Bacterial small subunit ribosomal RNA", at positions 29 to 523 of the family's 1533-position model. The record is from RNAcentral.
AGUGAACGCUGGCGGUAGGCCUAACACAUGCAAGUCGAACGGCAGCCCAGGAGAGCUUGCUCUCUGGGUGGCGAGUGGCGGACGGGUGAGGAAUACAUCGGAAUCUACUUUUUCGUGGGGGAUAACGUAGGGAAACUUACGCUAAUACCGCAUACGACCUACGGGUGAAAGCAGGGGAUCUUCGGACCUUGCGCGAUUGAAUGAGCCGAUGUCGGAUUACCUAGUUGGCGGGGUAAAGGCCCCCCAAGGCGACGAUCCGUAGCUGGUCUGAGAGGAUGAUCAGCCCCCCUGGAACUGAGACACGGUCCAGACUCCUACGGGAGGCAGCAGUGGGGAAUAUUGGACAAUGGGCGCAAGCCUGAUCCAGCCAUACCGCGUGGGUGAAGAAGGCCUUCGGGUUGUAAAGCCCUUUUGUUGGGAAAGAAAUCCAGCUGGUUAAUACCCGGUUGGGAUGACGGUACCCAAAGAAUAAGCACCGGCUAACUUCGUGCCAGCCGCCGCAGUAA